CAACUACUCCCUCUGUUCCAAAUUUCUUGUCUUAGAUUUGUCUAGAUACGGAUGUAUCUAAUACUAAAAUGUGACUUGAUACAUCCGUAACUAGAGAAAUCUAAGACAAGAAUUUUGGGACGGAGGGGGUGCUUU
This is a non-coding RNA of Triticum aestivum (bread wheat), 135 nucleotides long. The record is from Rfam. Lineage: Eukaryota; Viridiplantae; Streptophyta; Magnoliopsida; Poales; Poaceae.